CUAACUACGUGCCAGCAGCCGCGGUAAUACGUAGGGGUGCAAGCGUUAAUCGGAAUUACUGGGCGUAAAGCGUGCGCAGGCGGACUUUUAAGCCAGAUGUGAAAGCCCCGAGCUUAACUUGGGAAUUGCGUUUGGAACUGGGAGUCUAGAGUCUGUCAGAGGGGGAUGGAAUUCCACGUGUAGCAGUGAAAUGCGUAGAGAUGUGGAGGAACACCGAUGGCGAAGGCAGUCCCCUGGGAUAAGACUGACGCUCAUGCACGAAAGCGUGGGGAGCAAACAGGAUUAGAUACCCUGGUAGUCCACGCCCUAAACGAUGUCUACUAGUUGUUGGGGUAGCAAUACCUCAGUGACGCAGCUAACGCGUGAAGUAGACCGCCUGGGGAGUACGGUCGCAAGAUUAAAACUCAAAGGAAUUGACGGGGG
This 423-nucleotide ribosomal RNA is filed under the name uncultured bacterium. RNAcentral describes it as "bacterial SSU rRNA". It matches the Rfam family "Bacterial small subunit ribosomal RNA", at positions 497 to 919 of the family's 1533-position model. The record is from RNAcentral.